GAACGCUGGCGGCGUGCCUAAUACAUGCAAGUCGAGCGGAUCUUUAGAAGCUUGCUUCUAAAGAUUAGCGGCGGACGGGUGAGUAACACGUGGGCAACCUGCCUGUAAGACUGGGAUAACUUCGGGAAACCGAGGCUAAUACCGGAUAAUCCUUUUUCUCACAUGAGAGAAAGCUGAAAGACGGCGCAAGCUGUCACUUACAGAUGGGCCCGCGGCGCAUUAGCUAGUUGGUGAGGUAACGGCUCACCAAGGCAACGAUGCGUAGCCGACCUGAGAGGGUGAUCGGCCACACUGGGACUGAGACACGGCCCAGACUCCUACGGGAGGCAGCAGUAGGGAAUCUUCCGCAAUGGACGAAAGUCUGACGGAGCAACGCCGCGUGAGUGAUGAAGG
This 393-nucleotide ribosomal RNA is filed under the name uncultured bacterium. Its description in RNAcentral is "bacterial SSU rRNA". It matches the Rfam family "Bacterial small subunit ribosomal RNA", at positions 31 to 414 of the family's 1533-position model. The record is from RNAcentral.